This 255-nucleotide non-coding RNA is filed under the name Neobacillus vireti. Its description in RNAcentral is "Bacillus vireti T-box sequence". It matches the Rfam family "T-box leader". From Rfam's summary of the family: Uncharged tRNA acts as the effector for transcription antitermination of genes in the T-box leader family. T-boxes are found upstream of many aminoacyl-tRNA synthetase genes and some amino acid biosynthetic genes usually in Gram-positive bacteria. The anticodon of a specific tRNA base pairs to a specifier sequence within the T-box motif, and the NCCA acceptor tail of the tRNA base pairs to a conserved bulge in the T-box antiterminator hairpin. The record is from RNAcentral. Lineage: Bacteria; Bacillati; Bacillota; Bacilli; Caryophanales; Bacillaceae.
CUAAAGGCUUUGAGAAGGAAAAGUAAAUAGGGCAGUAUUUAAUAGAGAGCUUCCGAUGGUGGAAAGGAAGUAAAUGAACCCUUUUGAAAAUGACCUUUGAGCUUCGCACCGAACGCUUAUGAGCUAGUAGGCUGCGACGGGGAUGGCACUCGUUAUUACAGCAGCAGUAUCUCUUUUAAAAGACGUACUGAUAGAGGCAAAUAGUGUGAGCUAUUUGUAAAUGUAGGUGGUACCACGAGUAAACUCGUCCUAAUC